Molecule: ribosomal RNA, 301 nt
Filed under: uncultured bacterium
Lineage: Bacteria
Description: partial 16S ribosomal RNA
Rfam family: Bacterial small subunit ribosomal RNA
Source: RNAcentral
CAGUAGCCGCGGGAAAACAGAGGGUGCAAGCGUUAAUCGGAAUUACUGGGCGUAAAGCGCGCGUAGGUGGUUUGUUAAGUUGGAUGUGAAAGCCCCGGGCUCAACCUGGGAACUGCAUCCAAAACUGGCAAGCUAGAGUACGGUAGAGGGUGGUGGAAUUUCCUGUGUAGCGGUGAAAUGCGUAGAUAUAGGAAGGAACACCAGUGGCGAAGGCGACCACCUGGACUGAUACUGACACUGAGGUGCGAAAGCGUGGGGAGCAAACAGGAUUAGAUACCCGCGUAGUCCCUGUCUCUUAUAC